RNAcentral lists this transfer RNA (74 nucleotides) under Paraburkholderia phytofirmans OLGA172. Its description in RNAcentral is "tRNA-Ala". It matches the Rfam family "tRNA". From Rfam's summary of the family: Transfer RNA (tRNA) molecules are approximately 80 nucleotides in length. Their secondary structure includes four short double-helical elements and three loops (D, anti-codon, and T loops). The record is from RNAcentral. Lineage: Bacteria; Pseudomonadati; Pseudomonadota; Betaproteobacteria; Burkholderiales; Burkholderiaceae.
GGGGGGUAGCUCAGCUGGGAGAGCGUCGCGUUCGCAAUGCGAAGGUCGGGAGUUCGAUCCUCCUCCUCCCACCA